This 492-nucleotide ribosomal RNA is filed under the name uncultured bacterium. RNAcentral describes it as "partial 16S ribosomal RNA". It matches the Rfam family "Bacterial small subunit ribosomal RNA", at positions 29 to 507 of the family's 1533-position model. The record is from RNAcentral.
AGUGAACGCUGGCGGUAGGCCUAACACAUGCAAGUCGAACGGCAGCACAGCAAGAGCUUGCUCUUACGGGUGGCGAGUGGCGGACGGGUGAGGAGUACAUCGGAAUCUACUUUUUCGUGGGGGAUAACGUAGGGAAACUUACGCUAAUACCGCAUACGACCUACGGGUGAAAGCAGGGGAUCUUCGGACCUUGCGCGAUUGAAUGAGCCGAUGUCGGAUUAGCUAGUUGGCGGGGUAAAGGCCCACCAAGGCGACGAUCCGUAGCUGGUCUGAGAGGAUGAUCAGCCACACUGGAACUGAGACACGGUCCAGGCUCCUACGGGAGGCAGCAGUGGGGAAUAUUGGACGAUGGGCGCAAGCCUGAUCCAGCCAUACCGCGUGGGUGAAGAAGGCCUUCGGGUUGUAAAGCCCUUUUGUUGGGAAAGAAAAGCAGCAGGUUAAUACCCCGCUGUUCUGACGGUACCCAAAGAAUAAGCACCGGCUAACUUCGUG